GACGAACGCUGGCGGCGUGCUUAACACAUGCAAGUCGAACGGAAAGGCCCUGCUUUUGUGGGGUGCUCGAGUGGCGAACGGGUGAGUAACACGUGAGUAACCUGCCCUUGACCUUGGGAUAACUUCAGGAAACUGGGGCUAAUACCGGAUAGGAGCUCCUGCUGCAUGGUGGGGGUUGGAAAGUUUCGGCGGUUGGGGAUGGACCCGCGGGUUAUCAGCUUGUUGGUGGGGUAGUGGCUUACCAAGGCUUUGACGGGUAGCCAGCCUGAGAGGGUGACCGGCCACAAUGGGACUGAGAUACGGCCCAGACUCCUACAGGAGGCAACAGUGGGGAAUAUUGCACAAUGGGCGGAAGCCUGAUGCAGCAACGCCGCGUGCGGGAUGACGGCCUUCGAGUUGUAAACCGCUUUCGCCUGUGACGAAGCGUGAGUGACGGUAAUGGGUAAAGAAGCACCGGCUAACUACGUG
RNAcentral lists this ribosomal RNA (468 nucleotides) under uncultured bacterium. RNAcentral describes it as "partial 16S ribosomal RNA". It matches the Rfam family "Bacterial small subunit ribosomal RNA", at positions 28 to 507 of the family's 1533-position model. The record is from RNAcentral.